UGCCAUAAUUAGACGCUCAUUCCUCAGUCACGCUGCAACUGCGACGCUCAAACUCCAUCACAUCCACUUCUUUUCAUCGGACUCACUCUAUCUUUAUCAAAGGAGCGGUGCUGUUUAUCGACGCAUCCUGCAGAAAACCCAACACAGGCACUAUCUGGGACAUUUUUCCCCCCUCUUUUUCAGUUGAUCUGUGUUUCUUCCUCCUCUCCUUGUUUCAAUGGGUCCGUGCGUUGUGCUGCUCUGCUCUCUCCUCGGAGUUGUCCUUGGUCAAGGAGUGGAUCAGGUCUCCAUUGAAGACUGCUGUAAGGAUGGACAAAAGCGUGCCAGUGAUGAUGAAGACUGUGCAGCCCUUCCUCUUAUCUCAGCAUCAAACACAUGCAGGAUAGUGCAGGAGCAGUGCUGUGUAACAGUGCUUGAGGAUAACAUGUGCACCACUGGUAUCAACACGGCCAAAGAACAAGGAGUCUGUGAUUCUUUAUUCGCUAACACCUGCGAGACAAAGACUACGAAGAUGUGCUGCGACUGUUGUCUACUGGGGAAGGCAGUCCUGGAGCAGGGCUUACCCUGUGACCACAAGCUGUCUGUGGGCUACCAGUGUGGCCUGGUGUCCCGGGCAUGCUGUGUGGAUGGAGCUGGAGACAACCAGACUGUGUCCACAGGAGCAACUGAGUUACCAAAUAAGGAUCAAACCACCGAUAACGAAGACAAUUCUGUUGUAAAUGACCCAUGCCAAGGGACCUGUGCUCAUCAGUGUGUGAGUGAAAACACUUGUGGCUGUUUCAAAGGCUACAGACUCAAACCAGAUGGAAAGAGCUGUGAAGAUAUUAACGAGUGUUUGCUGGGAGCCAGUAACUGCCGGGGAGGAGAGCGUUGUAUCAACACUGAGGGCUCAUUCCGUUGUCAGAGAGAGGUCAGCUGUGGGACUGGCUAUGAACUCACUGACAACAACAACUGUAAAGAUAUUGAUGAAUGUGAGACUGGCAUCCAUAACUGUGGCCCAGAGUUUGAGUGUCAAAACACCCAGGGAUCAUUCCGUUGUCUCCCCAAAGUCAAGUGUGCUGCUGGCUUUAUCCAGGACGCCCUGGGCAGCUGUAUUGAUAUUAAUGAAUGUGUUACCCAGACUCCAUGCACCAGAGGGCAGGUCUGUAUAAACACAGUUGGCUCUUACAUCUGCCAGAGGAACUCCGUUAACUGUGGUCGAGGAUACCACCUGAACGAAGAAGGCACUCGCUGCAUUGAUAUUGAUGAGUGUAAGAGUCUUGACAAGGUCUGCGAGGGUCAUGGAUGUAUUAAUCUGGUGGGCUCGUACCGCUGUGAGUGCGAGGCGGGCUACAUCUUUAACAGCAUCAGUCGGGUUUGUGAAGAUAUUAAUGAAUGCAGACAUUAUCCUGGCCGUCUGUGUGCUCACAAGUGCGAAAACACCCUCGGAUCCUACAAGUGUAGCUGCACCACAGGUUUCAAACUGGCUGCUGAUGGCAGGAACUGUGACGAUUUGAACGAAUGUGAGAGCAACCCAUGCAGUCAAGAGUGCGCCAAUGUGUACGGCUCCUACCAGUGUUACUGUCGCCGUGGUUACCAGCUCAGUGACAUGGAUGGCAUGACUUGUGAAGAUAUAGAUGAAUGCGCCCUGCCCACCGGAGGUCAUAUUUGCUCCUAUCGCUGUCACAACACUCCUGGAAGUUUCCACUGUUCCUGUCCUAUCAAUGGUUAUACCUUAGCAGCAAAUGGACGCAGCUGUCAGGAUAUCGAUGAGUGUCUGACAGGAACACAUACCUGUACAGGGAAUCAGAGCUGCUUCAAUGUCCAGGGAGGAUUCAGAUGCCUGUCCUUCGACUGUCCGAAUAACUACCGCCGUGUGGGAGAGACUCGAUGUGAACGCUUGCUUUGCAAUGACUCUGAAGAGUGCCUGGCCAUGCCCCUGAGAAUAACCUACUACUACCUCACCUUCCCCACCAACAUCCCUGUCUUCACCAACAUCUUCCGCAUGGGCCCCUCCCACACUCUGGCCAGCGAUGACAUCCAGAUUGCUAUCACUGCUGGCAACGAGGGCAAUUUCUUCAAGGCGGAGCAGGUGCCCACUGGCGGCGUGAUGUCAGUGGCAAAGCUCAUGAGCAAACCCCAGGACUUUGAGCUGUCCCUCGAGCUAAGGCUUCGUCGCUACGGCAUAGUCAGCACAUACCUGGCAAAAGUACUGGUGUUUGUCACUCAGGAUGAGCCCAGAGUACCGUACAAUCCACUACUAGAAUAAAGAUGAGGGUUAUUUAAACUGACUUUACAUCACAGUUACACAACAUGUGCCAUUUUCAAUGCACUGUCUAGUGGAAAAAGCAGUAAGGGACCAUAUGUAAAAGUGAUACAGAGAGUUAAGGGGAAUACCAACACCACAAAGAAAAGAAAAAAAACAAUGAACAUUAAUAUGAAGCUACAAAGAGCUGAAUACAUGAAGCGGAAACAUGCUCAAAAAACACUUUAAAGCUCUCUAAUCUCAUUUGUUGUGUUUACACAGAAAGUUAAAUCUGAAAUUUCUUUUUACUUUAUUGUGGGCAGCAUCUCAGUAGCUAAAAAAAACUCUGCGUUAGACUAAGAGAUGGUGUUGAUCUUCUCAAUUAAUCCCUAAUAAGAAUCACAAUAUCUCCUAAAAUCUAUUUUGUAACAUCGCUUUCAUUUCCACAAUUAAUUACUUGGAAAUAUAAUGAGUGGGUUAUUCAGAACAAAGUCAAUAAUCAAGUGAUGUCUACUCUUCAUUAUUGUUAUUAAUUAAACAUAAAGAUAACCCAGUCAUACACUAAACAUGUUUUGAAAAUGGCACACCAGUUCUAAGAGUAGGUAUGAAAAAAGGCACAGUUUUAGUACUGGAGCAUGUGACAUAAUAAACAUAGAUAUAAGAUAUACCUAUAGAUAUAAGGAUCAGCAGUGUAAAUGAGGUCCAAUUGAAUGUAUCUGUUUGGAGGUAAGGCAUUAGACAGCCGCUAGGUGGUGUUCUAGGUCAGGGUAUAUCAUAAAAUGGUAAUGACCCAACUCUGCCUUCAACUGAGUGUAAUUUGAUGAUGGUUGCAUGAUAAAGUCUGACGUUUUGCAGUAUUUUAUGGUUUAUAUGUUGGAUGAACAAUUUUCUAUUAAAAUUGAAAUAGAAAUAACA
This is an RNA transcript of Sphaeramia orbicularis (orbiculate cardinalfish), 3139 nucleotides long. It is a transcript of the gene named fibulin 1, with no coding region annotated. Lineage: Eukaryota; Metazoa; Chordata; Actinopteri; Kurtiformes; Apogonidae. The annotation marks the transcript as partial. The record is from RefSeq and is a predicted model, not a curated record. The transcript is spliced from 16 exons.